This 551-nucleotide ribosomal RNA is filed under the name uncultured Glomeromycotina. RNAcentral's name for it is "SSU rRNA". It matches the Rfam family "Eukaryotic small subunit ribosomal RNA", at positions 548 to 1098 of the family's 1831-position model. RNAcentral also lists the same sequence under 1 other name. Lineage: Eukaryota; Fungi; Glomeromycota. The record is from RNAcentral.
UUGGAGGGCAAGUCUGGUGCCAGCAGCCGCGGUAAUUCCAGCUCCAAUAGCGUAUAUUAAAGUUGUUGCAGUUAAAAAGCUCGUAGUUGAAUUUCGGAGUUUGUCGGUUGGUCGGGCUUCACUGUCCGCACUGACCUGAUGGAUUCCUACCUUCUGAAUAACCAGCAUGCUAUUAAGUUAGUGCGUUGGGGAAGCAGAGCUAUUACCUUGAAAAAAUUAGAGUGCUUAAAGCAGGCUUAUGCUUGAAUAGAUUAGCAUGGAAUAAUAAAAUAGGACGGCAUGGUUCUAUUUUGUUGGUUUCUAGGAUCACCGUAAUGAUUAAUAGGGAUAGUUGGGGGCAUUAGUAUUCAAUUGUCAGAGGUGAAAUUCUUGGAUUUAUUGAAGACUAACUUCUGCGAAAGCAUUUGCCAAGGAUGUUUUCAUUAAUCAAGAACGAAAGUUAGGGGAUCGAAGACGAUCAGAUACCGUCGUAGUCUUAACCAUAAACUAUGCCGACUAGGGAUCGGACGAUGUUAAUUUUUUAAUGACUCGUUCGGCGCCUUACGGGAAAC